UACGUAGACCACAAGCGUUAUCCGGAUUUAUUGGGCGUAAAGCGUGUGUAGGGGGCCCGGUGCGUCUAUGGUUAAAGCCCACCGCCUAACGGUGGAAGUGCCAUGGAUACGAUCGGGCUGGAGGGCGUUAGAGGUGCACGGAACAUAUGGUGUAGGGGUGAAAUCCGUUGAUAUCAUAUGGAACACCGAAGGCGAAGGCAGUGCACUGGGACGUUCCUGACCCUGAGACACGAAAGCGUGGGGAGCAAAAAGG
RNAcentral lists this ribosomal RNA (253 nucleotides) under uncultured bacterium. RNAcentral describes it as "partial 16S ribosomal RNA". It matches the Rfam family "Bacterial small subunit ribosomal RNA", at positions 524 to 776 of the family's 1533-position model. The record is from RNAcentral.